AUUCUGCCUACAAAAAAAAAAAAAAAAAAGUAUACACACACACAGAAUGAAAAAUUGUAGAUUAGCUUCUGCUGGUCUCGCCAUCCUUCACUAUCCAAUUCAUUGCCAAGCACACAGUAACAGCAACUAAGAAUGAGAAAAAAUGGGAGGCUGUGGCUAUAACCUCUCAGUGCGGCCUCUGCACAGGCUCCACAGCCACCUCUUUUGAUGCCUGAGGGACCAGCCUGAUUGCAACAUGUACUGAGUGAGGUGACACCUAUGGGACUGGCAGCAUUCAGGUAAAAUCAUGAUCAGUUUGGAGAAUGACACUUAUCACUAUUGUAUUUCCCCUAAAAAAUAUGCAGAAUGUUGACAACAUGAGAUUUCUGGAAUAUCCUUCAGGAAUCCUAUACAAUUUGCUGGUGAGUCCUCUAACUACUCUUUGUUUUGUUAACAGCUGGGAAUCUGGGUUUUUAGGAUUAGGUUUCAAAAUUUCCAUCUCCUUCCCACUUUUGCUAACUGAAACAUGCCUCAAGAGAAUUUUUCUUUCAGUAUCCAAUGAAAAGCAAUGUUAAAACAAUAUUGGAAGUGCAGAUUUAAGACAAGUAGCAAGCAACCAUCUCCUGUCUUUUAGACGAGGUACUUCAGCACAACAAUAUUAUAGCAAAGACAGGGCUAUUUUUACAACCAGAACGGGAAGAUCCCUAAAAAUCAAACAGUCCUGUCUUGUUUUUUGGUGUGGGCUAUUUCUUAUGCCAAACCAGAGCAGCUAGUGCCUGUGGUGCAUGUAUGACCCUAACCUGGGAAGAAUGCAGAGCAACUGCAAUUGUCAGUGCGUCAGGAUCAUUAAAACAUACUCCUACUGGUAUCUAUAGCCUACCUUUCUUCCUUGGUGUCUAUUUCCUCUGAACUUGGUUCAGAGUCCAAGGCAGGGAGGAGGAAAAAUCACCAUCAUAAGAAAGCAGCUAUUUCAAGAGCAACCUUUUUUUUGGUCUAAUUAUUUCUCAAAUUCUGCAACCCUCUGCAAGUGAUUCACAAACGUAGUUCAAAUAGUGGGAAAACUAUUUGAGCCCAGGCAAGACUGGCUGUGUUAGGUUUGCUUGCUUAUUGUCGCUUUUUAACAUGUUUAAACACAUCUUGAAUGAUCCAAAAUAAUCUCUGAAGCAAAAGGAAUUCCAUAAAUUCCACAAAAUUAGUAAAAUAGAAAAAUGAAAAAUCAACUAAAGAAACUCUCAUGUGUUGCUUUAAACAUGUAAAUAAUGGCUAAUAGGACCUGUUCAAAAUUCUCUGUAAUUCAACUUUUAAAAUUCAACCUUACAAACUGCAGGGGUAUGCAAUUUGGUGUCCCUGUGCUCUGAGGACUGCCAGAUCCUACCCUAUGGCAUGAGAAGAAGACAUCACUCUGAAGCUGAUGUAAAUUCUGCCAGCCUCACUGAAAUCAGCAGAGUGAUGACAAGCUACAUUUGCUGAAGAACUGCCUUGAGUCCCAUAGUGUGUCUGCUCUGGAUGAUGAUUUUACAGUAGAUAUCCAAAGCAUCUUUUUAUACAUAUGUCUGAUUGCACACUUAAGCCAAAUAUUCAGCUGGUCUAAACAGAUAUAAUUUCACUAAUUUAAAUCUGUGUGGCUUACACCUGCCUGAGAUUAUGGCCAUCAUACCUGCAUUUUUUUCUAUGGAAAUCUCUGAAAUUCAGAGGGUUCCUGAGUUGAAGCUUAUAUUGAAACAUUACAGGUAACCAAGUCAACUAAUUUUUCAUCUGAUCAAAUCAACAGAACUGCACAUACACCACCAAAUUUGGAGCUGUACAUGAAAGGUAAAGCCUUCUAAACAUCACUAUACAUAAUCCUUUUCCUGCUCAAUAACAUUCCAAUGUUUUCUUCCAAGUGGGGAGAAAAAUAAAAUAAAAUAAAAUAAAAUAAAAGUGGAGGGUAAGGGGAAACAAGGACAGAAAAAAAUAAAAUAUAAAAAUAAAGCAAUUACCAAACAUUACCAUCUGGGUCUGCAUGUGAGUGGAGACCAAUCAGAGUUAGAUCUUCCUGCAAGUCCUAGCUACCCUUCCCUUAGAGCUCCUGCCUGUGGUGUAGCUCUCUUCAUGCCCUCAGCAGUGCAUCAGGAUGGUCUGAAAUGCUGCAGUGGAGAGACACCUCCCUUUGGGAUGGGACAGAGGGCUAUGAAACAUAGGACCAAAGCCACCUAACUCUCCUAAUUGUUUUCCCAUCUCUGUGCAGUCCCAUGGGUAGCUGCUUGUUCACCACAGAUAUUUGUACAUAACUCACUAAAAGGAAUGUACAGGGUCACAUGAUGGAUCAUACAUAAUUUGGUUUUUAUUGCAAUGGUAUUUUAAAUAUUUGUGAUCUCAGUUUUUCUCUCCACCCUACCCAGGGAAAUGGAAAUCUAUGGGGACAAGAUGGGAUUUCAGAAAGAUUAGCUUGAAUUUUGCUUUGCUUCUUUUCUCCUGACAGAAGAAAACAAAAAUUCAACAUUUGAAUUUGCCAUGAAAUAGCCUUUCUCUGCAAUAUGGAAAUUUCUGUGGCAGUAGCAGUUGCCAGGACCUGGAAGGGGGAAGAAAAGCCUGUGAUUCCCACCCCACCACACAAGGAAAGCAGCAUCAUGGGUGAGUCUCUUCCUUACCCUUGCACUGGAGUUGAGUUUAUUGCAUGAAAUCAAAAAUCUCAGAAAGCAAAACAAUUGCUUUCAAAAGCAAAACAAAAGCUAUUGCUCAGAAAGCAAAACAACUCCCUGAGCAGAGCCUAAAUGUUAUGCCUUCCCCACACAGCCUCUCUACCUGUCCUAGGAGGAAGACACACCAUACCUUUAAAUAUCUCCUAACUGACAUGGAAGAAGCAGACUCUUAACUUUUCCAGGGUGCUUUCUUCUCUCUGUCAUGGCAGCAUCAGUUGAAAGAUGCCACCUGGGAACUGAGAACAGAAGAAGGGCACAGCCAGCUCUACCACCUACUUCAAAGCUGCAGUUCCUCCAGCAUCUGGAGACCCUCAGCAGCUUCCAGGCUUUACCUGAGAACGCACACAUGAAAGGAAAAGGAGAGGGAAGAGGAAGUGGGCAGCUCCAUGGACAGGUUGAUCUCAUGAGCUGAACUCUAGCUGCUCAGAGAAGUGAAACACAGUAGCUGUCAGUGCAUGGAGUUCCUAUAGACCAGAGUGAGGUUUGCUGUCUGCUUUGGUAUGAAACAAAACAAGUAACACCUUUAAAGUCUACAGCUGGGCACAAUUCCUGUCCUGGCAGAUGGAGCAGCAAUCUCAUCCACACUACUCAGACGGGCAUUUUCUGGCACAGUCAGGCUCUUCCAUGAGAGCAGCAGGGAAUAACUGGUGUCACAGGGGCUACAGAAAUAGCAUGAGCAACAAGAGGUUAGAGCUGUGCUCUCCUUAACAGCACAGACAGGCUUUUAAGUACGAAACCUGAUUUCAAGCACACUUGCUCUCUCUGCAGGAGUGCCAAGAGUCUUGCAGCCAAAGUCACAGCCAUAAAACAACCUUUAAGGCAAGCCCCAUGAGUAACUGUCAGGUGGCAGAGGCAUGGCUUGAAAGGGGAGGGAAGAAGGCUGACAUUCCAGCAGCAUCUCACAUCCUGAGGGCUUGUUUCAUAACCUGAAAUGCCCCUUGCUUGAAAGGUCAGGGAGCAGUACCAUAGCUACUUUGGACAAGUAGCUCCUUGUCUGCAAUAUUUAGCUUGGCAAGUUGAGAAUUUACUAAGCUUAAAAGAACAGUUGACUCUCAAAAAUAACCCAAAAAAACAUUGGCAUAGUCUCAAGAGACGUCCAAUGGUUGAAUAAUCUUUAAGGUGAGAAAUCUGAACACCAGUCAGAUAUAACAGCCACAUCAAUUUUCAUGGGAAAAAAAGCAAAAAUUUAUUCCUCUUUAUUUUCUGCUACUACUCAAAGAUUCGUAUUGCAUUAUUGCUGUCCGCUGAAGUGGAUUCCUCCAAUAUUUUGGAGGAAUCUCUGCCACAGCCAGAAAGAAUUAAUGCACUGAUUUUCCUUGACAUUUAUAUAGCAAGGGAGAAUGAAGAAGCCUGAAGAAAGAAUCCUUCCUUUUUCUUUGCAUUUGUGCAAAGAGUUCUUCUGGAUGGAAUUUCAAAUCUCAGUAAAAACAAUUGCACGUUCCUGAAAUACUUUUUAGAUGAGUUAGGAGAAAAAAAAAAAGCAACUUUCUCAUAAAAACAAAUGGAAGUGGAAGGAGACAAAGAAAGAGCAUUUUUGUUGAGUUUAUUGAUAUAAAAUCAGCUGUUUUGGUAUUUCUAUCAGAAGGGAAUAUUACAAAUGUCCUUGCUUUGACAAAAAAAUACUACCUUUGGGAGAAGUGGGCUUAAUUUGGAUGUGUUCCCUUGCCUUUGGAAUAUCCCUGGCCUGGCACAAUUAUCCUUCCACAAAGGUCCUGUAAAAUUUUCUGCUGUUGACGCUUUGCUUCACUGCCAUCUCCUGCCCCUUGACAGGAGGCAUUGGUAACAUUAUGGUGAGGACGUGUGAUCUCAGUGGGUUUGCACUGUCUCUUUAUACACUGACCAGAUGGAAGACAGACUUCAGGCCAAACACUUCACUAGAUUCCCAUGCAGUACAGCAAGAAGAGGCAGUGAUGCUAACACCUGAAGCAGUAUCAUAAAUAAGGCCCUCAGGAUACACAUAGAGCCAGAGGAAUAUUCUGUUUUGCUUUAUUUCAUUGCUUUAUACACAAUGUAAAUUGAAUACCAUCAUGUCUAUACAGCACAGAGACCUGUUUCUACUCAUCAAAUCAGAAAGGGACAUCGGCUGGGAUGUCUGGAGGAUACUGCAAUGGCAUUUCCCUGUCCUGACAUGUGACAUGACAUAAAACAUUAGGCCUGGUUUCCAAAACCAGUGUGAAGAUUCCAGGCUCCACAAUUUUUCAGUAAAGCUCCUUGUCUGCUGUAAUACCAUUUCAGUGGCUGAAAUGCAUACUGAGGCAGAAAAUGUAAAAACCCAAAGAGUUUCUGGUAUUUUUUACCAUGCAAUUUCUACAGGGACAAACAAAUUCUUUUGAGUGGGAGCAGUUUCAGGCUCAAAUGAUCCAACACUUGGAUUAUGUCAACCCCAGUUCAUGUCCUUCUCAUGUGGCAACAUAACCACCAUGACAGGUAGGCAUAAUCACUGCCAGGAUGCACAGGGUGAAAAUCAGACCAAAACAGUGCAGCAAACUUGCAACAGGACAGAAACAUAAAUCAGAAAUACUAUUCACUAAUUAGUCUUGGAAAAAUCUGUGUGAACUUGAUGCCCUGAUGAACCACAUUUGGUGCAAAUCCCACAUGCAUUGCAUCACACUCCACCUUCUUUUCAUGGGAUGCAGGAUUUUUUCUAGUUUUUGAAUUGAUAUCCAGGUGUUGGUGUUAGCAGACAGAUUUUGUUCACACUCAUUAAAGAGGGCACUUCUGCAGAAAUGUACUGAUGAAAACACCCUGAGGACAAAAUGAGAAGUUUCUUAAGAGGAUGGGUUUCUGUUCAAGCCACUAAUCCAGGAAGGAAGAAGCUACAUGUUCAGAACCUCCCUACCCUGUCACUCUCUCUGAGGAGACAACACUGGAAAAUCUCCCUCAUAGUUCCAUCUGGUAUUUGGGUCUCCCUUAUUCAUCUUGCAAAAAAACUAGGGGAGUCUGGAGAUCAAGAAAAUACUUCCAAGAAUAUUCUUUGAUUCUUAAGAACCACAUAAGUACAUCCAAAUCUUUGAAUCAUCUGGUUUGGUGUGAGUUUCCACAGGACAACUGUACUGCAGUACAGAGUCCCGAUUCCCACAGGUUCGGCUCAAUUCCUUCUGGUGAACUGAAAAAGCUCCACUUUGAAAGCUCCAUGUUCAUCCCGCAGUAUCUUUGAUGAGACAAGUUCUCUUGGGGCCCCUCAAAUGGUGAGCUUGCCAUUCCUUUGCUAAUUGAUGUACACCAGCCCUUCUUUGGCCCUUGCUGCAGGCUGAGUCCACCUGCCCUGGAACAUGACCUGGCAGCAUACACCACCUUCUUGAUGUCUCACCAGCUGCUUGGACUUUUCUCUCCAUCAGGUAUUUUCCUCCCUCUUAGAGGGACACUGUGCAAUCCAACCCAACACAGAGGCACUGUCAGGAGGUGGCUACGUAGUUCCUUGACUGUGCUCCAGUGACUUCGGUCUCCCAAACGGAUGUCAAGGGAGUUUAUGAGAGUAGAAGAUAUAGAAGGUUCUGUUUCUGCUAAAGCUUGGAUUUGCUGCAGUUCUAGCCUUUCACAGAUACUUCUUGCAUAAUAGUUUGUGGCUGCAGUAUAAACUAUACACCAUUUGCAAGCAGGUCUACCUAAAUCACAGCAGUUAAGAUGCCCUGGAUAUAAGCCUGAAUCUUCACGCCAGCUUCUGCAACAAUUUACAAGGACAGCUCUACAAAUUUUGUUGGUGCUAGUAUCUUUUUUAUGCUACCUUUAGGGAUCAAGUACCCUAGAUUUUCACUCUAAGGAUUGUAAUUAUGGGUUGCUAGCAAAGGGAUUUCAGAGGUAUUGGGAGAGCACGAGGGAUGACGGUAAUAGUGUUAUUAAAUCAGUCCAGCAUCUCUACAGCACAUUGGAAAAAAAUGCAUAUCCUGGAUCAUUUUUAGGACAUAACUUUGCCUUGUGAAUAUUUUGGAGAAGACAUUUUCAAAAGAAUACAGAAUAAGAACAACUCAGAUGUGACAAAACAAGAUGGUGUCCAUGCUCUCACAGUCUUCAGGAUUUUCAGUACUCUUUCACUGGUGCUGUGAAGGUGAGCAAGCUUAACAGAACAUAACCACAGAAUGGGCUGUCAGCCCAGUCAUCAUCCCCUGAGGAAAACGUAGCAAGGCAAAAUGAUGUCACAAUCUUGGUGUGUUGGCUAAAAUGCAGACUAAAGAUUUGCUUGGUCUUUGUUUAAAACACAGAAAUGAAACAAACAGAAAGCAGUAGGUACCCACUGUAUAUGAUUGCUCUCCAACAGUUGCUGCAUUAGUUGCAUUUCUGGAACAGCUAAUGCAAAGUUACCUUUCUUGUCCCUUGGCUUUUACCAAUGAAAUCAACGGUGAUCCAGUGGUGGGUGCCUACACCACGUUCACAGCUAACAAAAUCAAGUGGCAUCUUGGCAGAUGGAGGCUGUUUUCACAGAAGAAAGUCACUAAAGAUGGAUAACAUUAAGAGGAGGAAAUGAGUGUUGUGAUUCCUGCCAGUUGAGAAUGCCCCAGGUAAGACAUAUACUUCCCAAUUUCACUGCCAGCAAGCAGACUGUAUUUCCUACCAGAUGGAAAAACUCAGCCCUUACCUCACCUGAUUAUUUCUAAGUAUAGACACUGACCCAAUAACUGUUAGUUCACCAAGAGACUUAUUAACAUGGAGACUUUGAACCCAGGGACAUUCCCACAAAGGCUGAUUAAUAACCAUGUAACACACCUGCCCUUUUUCAGAACCCUCAGGAUCACAUUCCUGUCUUGAAAAGUUAUGACACAUUGGCACAAACAGUGUACUUCUUGACCUUAGUCCUACAGAAACAAAUAGUUUGUCUCUCUAGUGUAAUCAAUCUCUACUUGUGUAAGAGAAAAAGCUGGCUGAAAGUCCUUAAGUGUCUAGAAACUCAACCCAUCACAGUCUCCUUGAAUGUCAGGAUAGUAAGAAAUACUUUGCACCAAUUUUCUGUCCUAUUUUUCUGGGCUAUUGAGCUCUGAUAAAAUCCCCAGGAGUUUAUACAGUUCAUUAUUUUAAAGGAAAAGAAUAGCACAGGUAGAUUAAAGUCAGUGAAGCUGCAGAAAAAGUGUUAAAAUUACAAACUGGUGCACUAUUUAUAAAUCUAUAAAGAAGAACACUUGAGUGUAUUUUCAACUUCAGCAUGUGACCAGUCCCAGGGACUACCACAGCCUUAAUCUGUGCACGUGCCUACAAACUUUGGAGACCUCUCACAAGUUAUGAUCUCAAGUACACGUAAGAGUGCUGACUGCUGUGCUGUGCUGCAACUGCCUCACUACUCUAAAUAUCUACUCUGAAUUAAGCUUCUAUAAGACAAUAAUAAUUUCCCACCAUAAUAUGUCACCUUUUCCAACAUGCAUCAAGGAAGCAGAGCACUGCUUUUUUAAAUGUAGUGGAUACAAAACUAUUUGAUCCUAUCAACUCCAGCUGGAGUAGAAGCUGAAAGUCUACAAGAAGCAAUGUGUUGCUUAGUUUAAAAUUCAUGCAUGAACAAAUUCAAUCCCAUAUCUAGUAAAUGUUUUGUGAUAAAUGUUAUAAAUAAAAACCUAUUUAUUCAUAACCUCA
This is a non-coding RNA of Zonotrichia albicollis (white-throated sparrow), 8216 nucleotides long. The record is from RefSeq and is a predicted model, not a curated record. NCBI's taxonomy places the organism in Eukaryota, Metazoa, Chordata, Aves, Passeriformes, Passerellidae.